UACGGAGGAUGCAAGCGUUAUCCGGAAUGAUUGGGCGUAAAGCGUCCGCAGGUGGCUGUGUAAGUCUGCUGUUAAAGAGUCUAGCUCAACUAGAUAAGAGCAGUGGAAACUACAUGGCUAGAGUGCGUUCGGGGCAGAGGGAAUUCCUGGUGUAGCGGUGAAAUGCGUAGAGAUCAGGAAGAACACCGGUGGCGAAAGCGCUCUGCUAGGCCGCAACUGACACUCAUGGACGAAAGCUAGGGGAGCGAAUGGG
RNAcentral lists this ribosomal RNA (253 nucleotides) under uncultured bacterium. Its description in RNAcentral is "partial 16S ribosomal RNA". It matches the Rfam family "Bacterial small subunit ribosomal RNA", at positions 524 to 776 of the family's 1533-position model. The record is from RNAcentral.